Molecule: ribosomal RNA, 465 nt
Filed under: Vreelandella stevensii
Lineage: Bacteria; Pseudomonadati; Pseudomonadota; Gammaproteobacteria; Oceanospirillales; Halomonadaceae
Description: partial 16S ribosomal RNA
Rfam family: Bacterial small subunit ribosomal RNA
Source: RNAcentral
CCUACGGGUGGCUACAGUGGGGAAUAUUGGACAAUGGGGGGAACCCUGAUCCAGCCAUGCCGCGUGUGUGAAGAAGGCCCUCGGGUUGUAAAGCACUUUCAGUGAGGAAGAACGCCUGGUGGUUAAUACCCAUCAGGAAAGACAUCACUCACAGAAGAAGCACCGGCUAACUCCGUGCCAGCAGCCGCGGUAAUACGGAGGGUGCGAGCGUUAAUCGGAAUUACUGGGCGUAAAGCGCGCGUAGGUGGCUUGAUAAGCCGGUUGUGAAAGCCCCGGGCUCAACCUGGGAAUGGCAUCCGGAAACGGCAAGGUAGGAGUGAGGAGGGGAAAGUUGGAAUUCCGGUGGUAGCGUGAAAUGCGGUGAGGUUCGGAAGAAAACCAGGGGGGGAGGGGGGCCUUCGGGCCUGACCCGAACACGGGGUUGGAAAGCGUGGGUAGCAAACAGGAUUAGAUACCCGAGUAGUC